RNAcentral lists this ribosomal RNA (440 nucleotides) under uncultured bacterium. RNAcentral's name for it is "partial 16S ribosomal RNA". It matches the Rfam family "Bacterial small subunit ribosomal RNA", at positions 338 to 795 of the family's 1533-position model. The record is from RNAcentral.
CCUACGGGGUGCAGCAGUGGGGGAUAUUGCACAAUGGGGGAAACCCUGAUGCAGCGACGCCGCGUGAGUGAAGAAGUAUUUCGGUAUGUAAAGCUCUAUCAGCCGGGAAGAAAAUGACAGUACCUGACCAAGAAGCCCCGGCUAACUACGUGCCAGCAGCCGCGGUAAUACGUAGGGGGCAAGCGUUAAUCGGAUUUACUGGGUGUAAAGGGAGGGUAGACGGGUGUGUAAGUCUGGAGUGAAAGCCCGGGGGCCAACCCCCGGACUGCGUUGGAAACUGUGGAACUGGAGUAGAGGAGGGGCAGGCGGAAUGCCGGGUGUAGCGGUGAAAGGCGUAGAUAUCAGGAGGAACACCGGCGGCGAAGGCGGCCUGCCGGACUGAAACUGACGUUGAGGCUCGAAAGCGUGGGGAGCGAACAGGAUUAGAUACCCUGGUAGUC